UCUGGUGGCAAUAGCGGAGGUGUCACACCCGGUCACAUGCCGAACCCGGCAGUUAAGCCCUCCAGCGCCGAUGGUACUGCAAGGGGUACUUGUGGGAGAGUAGGUCGCCGCCAGGA
Molecule: ribosomal RNA, 116 nt
Filed under: Synergistaceae bacterium
Lineage: Bacteria; Thermotogati; Synergistota; Synergistia; Synergistales; Synergistaceae
Source: RNAcentral